GAAUUUGCCCAUUGGUCAGGCUUAGCUGUCUGAACUGGUGUGACGAGUUCCUACCUUCUGAGGAAUCUUCAUGCCAUUCAUUUGGUGUGGGGGGAAAUCAGGACUGUUACUUUGAAAAAAUUAGAGUGUUUAAAGCAGGCAUCCGUCUGAAUACAUUAGCAUGGAAUAAUGAAAUAGGACGUUUGAUUCUAUUUUGUUGGUUUCUAGGAUCGACGUAAUGAUUAAUAGGGAUAGUUG
RNAcentral lists this ribosomal RNA (237 nucleotides) under uncultured Diversispora. RNAcentral describes it as "partial 18S ribosomal RNA". The stretch from base 48 to 237 matches the Rfam family "Eukaryotic small subunit ribosomal RNA", at positions 693 to 884 of the family's 1831-position model. Lineage: Eukaryota; Fungi; Glomeromycota; Glomeromycetes; Diversisporales; Diversisporaceae. The record is from RNAcentral.